AGUCGUCCACUCUUAUUCCGGUUGGAAGAUAGUCACUUGUGGGAUCCGAUCAUCGACGAAUCAAUGAACAAAAAAAUCCCUCCUACUCCUGAAGUCGCCUCUGGGAAGCCUAAAAGACUUGGGACACACAGAUUGGUGCUCCUGCUAUAAUUGCUCCGUGAUGCCAACGGAAGGAAGAGUCUGUCUGUUGCCGCAACAUCGCCCGACAUGGACCGACCUCUUCACUAAAGACAUUACCUGCGUAUGUGAUUUGGACUAUGUCAAAAAUAAAUUGGUGGACAGAGCCCAUAUAAAGGAAACUGCACGGCUAUGCUGCGUCAUAUAAGAAGACCCAUUUAUGUAAAGUCGCCGAUAUGAUGGAAAGGGAUGUACGGAAAGCCGCAUACAGAGCUUUUACAUUGUGGAUUUACGGGCACCUGGGAAGCAAAAGCCGAAGGCCUAUUCCAUCGUGCGUUGUUGACUGUGUCCGUACACAUUUCUCUGCAUUAGACCAUACAUUUAUCGGCAUUAGAACAGCAGAAGAUGAUUACGAUGCUACUGAUAUGUGUACUUAGUAAAUCAGUUGGUGGACCUUUUUUUUGUUUGUUUGUUUUUUUUUGUUCCUUGUCAUAUUUGAUACAUAUACAUAAAUACAUUUUUAGCUACAAAAUCUUUGUCCUUUCCUUAAAAAAAAAACAUGGUAUUUGUGGUUUUAAAAAGUAUAAAUUUCAUUUUUUUUAA
Bombina bombina (fire-bellied toad) is the source of this 720-nucleotide long non-coding RNA. RefSeq lists it as uncharacterized. The transcript is spliced from 2 exons. The record is from RefSeq and is a predicted model, not a curated record. NCBI's taxonomy places the organism in Eukaryota, Metazoa, Chordata, Amphibia, Anura, Bombinatoridae.